This 1285-nucleotide ribosomal RNA is filed under the name metagenome. RNAcentral's name for it is "bacterial SSU rRNA". It matches the Rfam family "Bacterial small subunit ribosomal RNA", at positions 242 to 1520 of the family's 1533-position model. The record is from RNAcentral.
UAGCUAGUUGGUGAGGUAAAGGCUUACCAAGGCGACGAUCUGUAGCGGGUCUGAGAGGAUGAUCCGCCACACUGGAACUGAGACACGGUCCAGACUCCUACGGGAGGCAGCAGUGGGGAAUUUUGGACAAUGGGGGCAACCCUGAUCCAGCCAUGCCGCGUGAGUGAAGAAGGCCUUCGGGUUGUAAAGCUCUUUCGGCCGGGAAGAAAUCGCAUGGGCCAAUACCCUGUGUGGAUGACGGUACCGGAAUAAGAAGCACCGGCUAACUACGUGCCAGCAGCCGCGGUAAUACGUAGGGUGCGAGCGUUAAUCGGAAUUACUGGACGUAAAGCGUGCGCAGGCGGUUUUGUAAGACAGGCGUGAAAUCCCCGGGCUUAACCUGGGAACUGCGUUUGUGACUGCAAGGCUAGAGUACGGCAGAGGGGGGUGGAAUUCCACGUGUAGCAGUGAAAUGCGUAGAGAUGUGGAGGAACACCAAUGGCGAAGGCCCCCCUGGGUCGAUACUGACGCUCAUGCACGAAAGCGUGGGUAGCAAACAGGAUUAGAUACCCUGGUAGUCCACGCCCUAAACUAUGUCAACUAGGUGUUGGGUGGGUAAAACCAUUUAGUACCGUAGCUAACGCGUGAAGUUGACCGCCUGGGGAGUACGGCCGCAAGGUUAAAACUCAAAGGAAUUGACGGGGACCCGCACAAGCGGUGGAUGAUGUGGAUUAAUUCGAUGCAACGCGAAAAACCUUACCUACCCUUGACAUGCCAGGAACUUGCCAGAGAUGGCUUGGUGCCCGAAAGGGAGCCUGGACACAGGUGCUGCAUGGCUGUCGUCAGCUCGUGUCGUGAGAUGUUGGGUUAAGUCCCGCAACGAGCGCAACCCUUGUCGUUAAUUGCCAUCAUUUAGUUGGGCACUUUAACGAAACUGCCGGUGACAAACCGGAGGAAGGUGGGGAUGACGUCAAGUCCUCAUGGCCCUUAUGGGUAGGGCUUCACACGUCAUACAAUGGUCGGUACAAAGGGUUGCCAAGCCGCGAGGCGGAGCCAAUCCCAGAAAGCCGAUCGUAGUCCGGAUUGCAGGCUGCAACUCGCCUGCAUGAAGUCGGAAUCGCUAGUAAUCGUGGAUCAGCAUGUCACGGUGAAUACGUUCCCGGGUCUUGUACAUACCGCCCGUCACACCAUGGGAGCGGGUUCCGCCAGAAGUAGGUAGCCUAACCGCAAGGGGGGCGCUUACCACGGCGGGGUUCGUGACUGGGGUGAAGUCGUAACAAGGUAGCCGUAGGGGAGCCUGCGGCUG